CAUGACUGAAACAAUGGAACAUUUGGCAAAAAAUGUACAAUGCUGAGAAUAAUACCUACCUUGAAAGCAAGAGCAGCAAUAGCAGAAACAAGCCAAAAUGGGAAGAACCAGACGUUGAAGUACAGUUCCAUCUGGAAAGGUCUUCACAAUAAAG
This is a long non-coding RNA of Octopus sinensis (East Asian common octopus), 154 nucleotides long. RefSeq lists it as uncharacterized. The transcript has 4 exons. NCBI's taxonomy places the organism in Eukaryota, Metazoa, Mollusca, Cephalopoda, Octopoda, Octopodidae. The record is from RefSeq and is a predicted model, not a curated record.